GAUGAACGCUGGCGGCGUGCCUAAUACAUGCAAGUCGAGCGAAUGGAUUAAGAGCUUGCUCUUAUGAAGUUAGCGGCGGACGGGUGAGUAACACGUGGGUAACCUGCCCAUAAGACUAGGAUAACUCCGGGAAACCGGGGCUAAUACCGGAUAACAUUUUGAACCGCAUGGUUCGAAAUUGAAAGGCGGCUUCGGCUGUCACUUAUGGAUGGACCCGCGUCGCAUUAGCUAGUUGGGGAGGUAACGGCUCACCAAGGCAACGAUGCGUAGCCGCCCGGGGAGGGUGAACGGCCACACUGGGACUGAGACACGGCCCAGACUCCUACGGGAGGCAGCAGUAGGGAAUCUUCCGCAAUGGACGAAAGUCUGACGGAGCAACGCCGCGUGAGUGAUGAAGGCUUUCGGGUCGUAAAACUCUGUUGUUAGGGAAGAACAAGUGCUAGUUGAAUAAGCUGGCACCUUGACGGUACCUAACCAGAAAGCCACGGCUAACUACGUGCCAGCAGCCGCCGUAA
RNAcentral lists this ribosomal RNA (515 nucleotides) under uncultured bacterium. RNAcentral's name for it is "partial 16S ribosomal RNA". It matches the Rfam family "Bacterial small subunit ribosomal RNA", at positions 28 to 523 of the family's 1533-position model. The record is from RNAcentral.